GUAGCUGGUUGCUAGGCUCAGGGACUUACAGUUGCUAUAGGCCUCAGGCCUGCAAGGCUGUUCUUAGCUCUCUUAGGAGUGCAGCUGAGUGGGGCUGACCCUAGGCAUGAGAGCACCCAAUUGUUUCAGGCUUUGGAAGGCAGGGAGAAUCCUUUUAAUGACUAUUUGUGAGGCACAGGUCUUCUGUCACUGAUAAGCCCCACCCCCCCACAGGUCUACACACACUGUCAACACAGUCCUGGUCUGUGAACACUUCCCAACCCCCUGGAGUGUACCCUGAUGCCCCACUACAGAGGCCCCCACCUCUCCACUGAUGCCCCCACAGUUCACCUGGUCCUCACACAGGCCCUGCCCAACAGAGGCAGACACACUCACCUGCCUGUAGAGGAUCCAGGCACCGAGUCUAUGCAGGCCGACAAGUAGCCUGAGGGCUUGCUGUUGGGUGGGGCCAGCCCCUAGGGUGGGUUCCCUGCCCUGGCUGAACUGGAUUAAAUCUGCAUUCUAGUGGGUGUGACAGACCCCUGGGCUAACAGGCCAGGGGAAGGACUUCAAUGGCAUCUACCAGGGUCUGUGUCAGCACACCUGGACUAGGUGACAAUGGCCACCACCAAUGUCUCAGUCUCUGGAGAGGUCUCACCUCUCACUGAGAUGCACCAGAGCUUACCAGGUGAGUCUCUUUUCACCAAAGGACUUUCAGCCUUCUUUCUGGUGAUUUUAGGUUGCUCUCUGAGACAAGUGAGUUUGUUCAUGGGCCCUUUAAGGCCCAAGAUUUUUCUGCUUUUGUCCAAUAGCUUUUCUGGGGGUAUUCCCUGCUGUAGUUAAUAGCCAGCGAAGCCAGAUAGUAAGACCCUCAUCUCAGUUGUGCUGAGUCUGAACGAUGCUUACAGCAGUAACGGGCCCCUGCUCAGGACCUCACCCCUCCAGGGAGGGCUGCUUACCUUAGGGUGGCUCCUGCCUGGCUGGCUGCUCGUGAAGGUGGCUUUUUUUCUCUCCAGAAGGAAUUUCUGCCUCAGUCAAGACUGUCCCUUUUUGUGGGGGUUCUUUUUAUCCAGUUUUCAGUUUUCUAUCCAGGGUAAUUUUUCCAAAGAUAGUCAUAACCUGGUUGUGUUCACAGGAGGAAGUGAGUUCAGAGCCUGCCUACACUGCCAUCUUGACGAGAUCUCUGAUAUUUUUUCUAUUAAAAAUAUGUUACAGAGAAAUUUCUGGAUCAGCAUGGCAAAUUUAACACAUGUUUUUAUUUCCUCUCCUUCUUUAAACCCGCCAAUAAAGGAAUUUUUUAAAGGUGUAGACCCACAAGAACAAAGAGAACUAAAGGGGAGACAAUAACAAAAGAAAGCUACCAGCAAAUUUUUGGAAUGUUAAAAGCAGGUGGCAAAACAGUAGCUGUUGCAACAAAGAGCAUCAGUUACAUCUCAGGUGCAAAUAGGAAAUUAACCAGGUGACACCAAGAGCCGGGACCCCAAGACCUGGAGAUGCAAAUACUAUGGAAGGUGG
Molecule: long non-coding RNA, 1494 nt
Filed under: Equus asinus (donkey)
Lineage: Eukaryota; Metazoa; Chordata; Mammalia; Perissodactyla; Equidae
Description: lncRNA (ENSEASG00005025888.1)
Source: RNAcentral